This 247-nucleotide ribosomal RNA is filed under the name uncultured Actinomycetes bacterium. RNAcentral's name for it is "uncultured actinobacterium partial 16S ribosomal RNA". It matches the Rfam family "Bacterial small subunit ribosomal RNA", at positions 28 to 276 of the family's 1533-position model. The record is from RNAcentral. Lineage: Bacteria; Bacillati; Actinomycetota; Actinomycetes.
GACGAACGCUGGCGGCGUGCUUAACACAUGCAAGUCGAGCGGUAAGGCCCUUUCGGGGGUACACGAGCGGCGAACGGGUGAGUAACACGUGGGUGACCUGCCCUGCACUCUGGGAUAAGCCUGGGAAACUGGGUCUAAUACCGGAUAUUCACAUGGUCCUGCAUGGGGUUGUGUGGAAAGUUUUUUCGGUGUGGGAUGGGCCCGCGGCCUAUCAGCUUGUUGGUGGGGUGAUGGCCUACCAAGGCGA